Molecule: ribosomal RNA, 343 nt
Filed under: uncultured Streptococcus sp.
Lineage: Bacteria; Bacillati; Bacillota; Bacilli; Lactobacillales; Streptococcaceae
Description: bacterial SSU rRNA
Rfam family: Bacterial small subunit ribosomal RNA
Source: RNAcentral
AGGUGGUGCAUGGUUGUCGUCAGCUCGUGUCGUGAGAUGUUGGGUUAAGUCCCGCAACGAGCGCAACCCCUAUUGUUAGUUGCCAUCAUUCAGUUGGGCACUCUAGCGAGACUGCCGGUAAUAAACCGGAGGAAGUGGGAUGACGUCAAAUCAUCAUGCCCCUUAUGACCUGGGCUACACACGUGCUACAAUGGUUGGUACAACGAGUUGCGAGUCGGUGACGGCGAGCUAAUCUCUUAAAGCCAAUCUCAGUUCGGAUUGUAGGCUGCAACUCGCCUACAUGAAGUCGGAAUCGCUAGUAAUCGCGGAUCAGCACGCCGCGGUGAAUACGUUCCCGGGCCUU